RNAcentral lists this long non-coding RNA (238 nucleotides) under Capsicum annuum. RNAcentral describes it as "long non-coding RNA (CANN_LNC014988)". Lineage: Eukaryota; Viridiplantae; Streptophyta; Magnoliopsida; Solanales; Solanaceae. The record is from RNAcentral.
AGACUUUGUGUAAUAGGUUGGUUCUUUGAGUUGUAAUAAGUCUUAAUUCUAGUCUCAGUGAAAUAUAAAUUGAGUUAGAAGUUGUGUCUUCAAGUUAGGGAACUCGAAGACUUAAGAACACUUAUCUUGGGAAGAUUUGUGUAAUUGUAGAAAUUAGAGUUAGAAGUUUAAUUCUUAGUUUACAAGAGUCUUGUAAUUUGUUAAUUGUUGAGGCUCAAGAGUUUUAGUGAAGUUGGGG